RNAcentral lists this transfer RNA (96 nucleotides) under Ramalina farinacea. It matches the Rfam family "tRNA". From Rfam's summary of the family: Transfer RNA (tRNA) molecules are approximately 80 nucleotides in length. Lineage: Eukaryota; Fungi; Ascomycota; Lecanoromycetes; Lecanorales; Ramalinaceae. The record is from Rfam by way of RNAcentral.
GGGGUUGUGGUUUAGUGGUAUAAUGCUUCUUUAGCACGUGGAUCACCCGAUUCAUUGAUAUAGAAGAGGUCCGGCGUUCGAUUCGCCGCUACUCCA